UAGUAUAAUUGGUAGUACAAAGGAUUUUGGGUCCUUGGGUGCAGGUUCAGGGCCUGUUUUUCUA
This 64-nucleotide transfer RNA is filed under the name Zonosaurus sp. 1 Recknagel-2013. Its description in RNAcentral is "partial tRNA-Gln". It matches the Rfam family "tRNA", at positions 8 to 68 of the family's 71-position model. Rfam says of the family: Transfer RNA (tRNA) molecules are approximately 80 nucleotides in length. Their secondary structure includes four short double-helical elements and three loops (D, anti-codon, and T loops). Lineage: Eukaryota; Metazoa; Chordata; Lepidosauria; Squamata; Gerrhosauridae. The record is from RNAcentral.